AAUAAAUUUUAUGCUAUCCCAGAAAAGCUCUCUUCGUCCCUUAUUCUGGUACCAGAACUUGGCUUUUCCUUGAGGAAACAUCCUUCUUCCUCAUCUACUCCAAGUGGUCCAGGCAAACUACUUCCACCUCUAGACAAGAGCAUGUGACUUAGGCCUGGAUGAUCAGAGUGUUGCAUGUGAUUAGCCUGCUGUGACUGGCUCAGCAGAGACUAAUGCAGAAAACAAGGUAGCAGCUUUGAUGGAGAAGGCAUCAGAGGAAGCUUUUGAUGGAGAGCUUUCCUUUCACACCAGUGAAUCAUGUACACCCCUUAGAAAUAAGUGGGAAGAUAAACAGCAGAGACUCCCCAGUCCAGAAGGCCUCCACAGGUGCUCUUCAGAGGACAGAAAUCCUUGAAGCAGCAGCAGACAUCCAGUGUACCUUGAGAAGCUCUUCUGCAAUACAUGUCCUGAACACUUCUAGCAGAGCCCAGCUGUCAGAGUUGCAGUAAAUGCUAAGAUAUGCAUGUCCAAGUACAAUAGAUAGCCCAGAGCAGAUACUCUCCUUAGAGUGAAACAGAAACUCUCACCACAGCGCUCUUCAGAAAGGCCAGAAACCAGAGAUCCCAGUUCAAAUGCCUUGUUAACUGUUUUUGUUGUGUAGAAAAGUCUAAGAUGCAGUGAGUGGCUAAGAGCUCAGUGGCUGUAGUGAGAGGGACCCGGUUUGAUUCGAAUUCCAUCAUAACCUUGCUGUGUGACCGAAGAUACUGACCUCUCAGUUUCCUCAUCUGUACGGGAGCAAUAAGACAUGACACCUUAUGGUGCUGUGAGGAUUAAAUCAGCUAAAAAUGGAAAGGACACGCCAAUGUUCUCAAGUCUGAAUCCAAGGCUCUGGAAAGUAAAAUUCCCAAUUGGAUUCUCAAAACACUCCUAGGUGGGUAUAAAUAGAAUGACGUUUCCAGCUUAUUUGGAUUUGUAUGGAUGUCAUUCCAAUUUUAGAAUCACCGAGAUUAUUGGCAUAAUUGCGUCACUGUAAAAUUCCAGACAAAAUGUACCAUCAUAUUUAAGCUUUUCUUUUUGAAUAAAAUAAUUGUAUCCUGUUUUUAAAUAAUAAUCUUUGGGAAUUUUGGUUCCAAAGUUGUCUAGGGAAUUAGUUUGGGGGUCAGGUAUAGUCAUAACUUAAGAAACAAAAUGAGUAUAGUACAUAGCAAUAUAUUUCCUGUUUAAAAUGUAGAAUAAGCCCAUUAUUAUGGAAAUAAAAAUAUCAUAAC
Cebus imitator (Panamanian white-faced capuchin) is the source of this 1247-nucleotide long non-coding RNA. RefSeq lists it as uncharacterized. The record is from RefSeq and is a predicted model, not a curated record. The transcript has 2 exons. Lineage: Eukaryota; Metazoa; Chordata; Mammalia; Primates; Cebidae.